CUCAGAGUAGGGGGUAGCACUUGGGCUGUGGAGGUUGGGUUGGGGACUUAGUCUCUGAGCGGAUAAAAGCGGGCGGAUCACCAGGUGCACAGAGCAUGUUUCAGGUUAACAGGUGCACAAGGAGUCCAAGCAGGGGUGGCCGUAUUUGAGGGCAGCACUCAGGCCAUGGAGAACAGAAAAUAACAGGCUCUCCGCAGCCAGUAAAAGGCUAGCAUGCGAUGAAGUUCACACAGGAUGCCAUCUUCAUCCCUGAAACGGUUUUCAUCCUGAAGGAGACUGUGUAGGAGGCAGAGGAGGAAAGAACAGUUAGAACAGCAUGCCAAACUGACACUUGGUUGCCUGAGUGUUCCUGUGCUGUGGGUGGAGAAGUGGUCCACCGGGACCAUCACUGAAGAGCUCGGGGCCCAGAUAGAUUACGCUCACGACCAUCAGUAUACAACCCCUAUACGCCACAGAUGGAGCUGACGGAGAGUGAGAACAGUGAAGACCCUAACUCCCUGUAUGAACCUGAGAGCUCAGAAUCACAAUCACAGUGCGAGCCAAGAUACACUAUCGAUCACUUUGGGGUACCGGGGUGGCGUUCCGAAAAUGGGAAAGGAGCAUGCCAUUCAACAGCGAAUUCAAAGAUACACCCGUUCAUAAAGGGAAUCAGAGUGGAAUAGUUUUUCCGCAGAUUUUUUAUUUUUAAAAACCCUUUUCUAUGGAUGUACAACCUUGUCCCGGUCCUGCUGUUUCAACUCUCUCUUCCAACCUUUGAAUGCUCAGCUAUGAAAAGCCAACUGACAUUUACUCCUGAGGCGUUGAACUGUUGCACCCUCUAUAACCAUUGUGGUUAUUAAUUUUGAUGUAAAAUGGGCUUUUGUAAAAAAUAAAUAAAAUAAAAACAUUUGAUUGAUUGUCUGCUGUGCUUGAUGCUGUGUAUUCACUAACUGUCUGAGUGCUGGGACAUUUUAAUAGUAUCUGUAAUGUAUUUUGGUGUGUAUUUAAUCUGCAUCUUAACUUCAUAAAGUGGCAAUCUGCAGUAGAAACAAUAACAACGUGUCUCUCUGCUCCUCUUUCGGUAAAAAGCUGAGGGAUGGGUCUGGAGAAAUGUAAGCUCUGUCAAAUGCAUAGACAGAGCUAUAGAUGCAAGGACUAUGAUAUCAAAAUUGUAAUCCCGUUUCUAUGAUCUGUUUCCACUACCAUCUACCCAGUUCGCUUUGGAUAAAGGCGUCUGUUAAAUGGCAUAUAUUAUUAAAGUCUACUUUUACUCAGCCAACUAGCUGCCCGGUGUAGUUACCGUUCCUUUCCAAAUAGAUGGCAGCCAAAUCUAGUUGAAGU
Non-coding RNA from Oncorhynchus mykiss (rainbow trout), 1320 nucleotides. The record is from RefSeq and is a predicted model, not a curated record. Lineage: Eukaryota; Metazoa; Chordata; Actinopteri; Salmoniformes; Salmonidae.